This 420-nucleotide ribosomal RNA is filed under the name Ixodes loricatus. Its description in RNAcentral is "partial 16S ribosomal RNA". The stretch from base 105 to 420 matches the Rfam family "Bacterial large subunit ribosomal RNA", at positions 2048 to 2611 of the family's 2925-position model. Lineage: Eukaryota; Metazoa; Arthropoda; Arachnida; Ixodida; Ixodidae. The record is from RNAcentral.
GGUAUUUUGACUAUACGAAGGUAUUGAAAUAAGGUUUUAAAUGAGCGCUAAGAGAAUGGUUUAACGAUUAUAAGCUUUCUUUAUUUAAAAAAUUGAAUUUAAUUUUUUUGUGCAGAAGCAAACAUUUAUUUUAGGGACAAGAAGACCCUAUGAAUUUUGAAUUUAAUUUAUUUAUUUUUAAUAUAAGUUAAAUUUGAUUGGGGCGAUAGAAAAAGAAUAAGUAUCUUUAUUUUAAUUAAAAAAGUUCCGUUAUUAACGAUUAAAUGGAAAAAAUACUCUAGGGAUAACAGCGUAAUAAUUUUGGAAAGUUCUUAUUGAUAAAAUAGUUUGCGACCUCGAUGUUGGAUUAGGAUUCUUUUUUGGUGAAGAAGUUAAAAAAAGAAGUUUGUUCAACUUUUAAAUUCCUACUUGAUCUGAGUU